Molecule: transfer RNA, 72 nt
Filed under: Elusimicrobiota bacterium
Lineage: Bacteria; Pseudomonadati; Elusimicrobiota
Description: Elusimicrobia bacterium (groundwater metagenome) tRNA-Phe
Rfam family: tRNA
About the family: Transfer RNA (tRNA) molecules are approximately 80 nucleotides in length. Their secondary structure includes four short double-helical elements and three loops (D, anti-codon, and T loops).
Source: RNAcentral
GCCGCGGUAGCUCAUUGGUAGAGCGCAGCUCUGAAAAAGCUGGCGUAGGGGGUUCGAUUCCCUCCCGCGGCA